UUUUUUCUUCUUUCUUCUUUUUUCUAGGUUUUUUCCCUCUUCUCCCCUCUCCUCUUCUGCCCCACCCGCUUUAUUUCUUGAUUUUCUCCUCUAAUCUAACCAUAUAAUGUAUGAUUUCCCUCUGCCCUCACUCUCUCUCUCUCUUCCUCAUCCACUCCAUCUCUCCGUCUAGCCUCCCCCUUCACUCAAAUUUUUUGUUCCCAAGUUAUUUAACUCGUUUUUUGGUGCAAGAAUCUGGUGGCUCAUUUCCCCUUCGGUGCUGGUUCGGCAACAAAUUCAUUGGUCAUUUUCAAGGUUUUUUCGCAUUAAUUGCAAUAUAGUAUAGAUAAAUUAACAAUAAUUUUUGCAAUAUAAUAUGUAUAUAGUGAUUUGUUAUUGUUUAGAUUAAUUAGCUAUUUUUUUCUUUUCCAUUAGAUGUUAUUGUGAAAAUGUCUAGUAUAAUUGUAUGUAUCCAAUAGUAAAUCGAG
RNAcentral lists this long non-coding RNA (467 nucleotides) under Nicotiana benthamiana. RNAcentral describes it as "long non-coding RNA (NBEN_LNC035964)". The record is from RNAcentral. Lineage: Eukaryota; Viridiplantae; Streptophyta; Magnoliopsida; Solanales; Solanaceae.